This 239-nucleotide ribosomal RNA is filed under the name Dehalococcoidia bacterium. RNAcentral's name for it is "partial 23S ribosomal RNA". It matches the Rfam family "Bacterial large subunit ribosomal RNA", at positions 1 to 250 of the family's 2925-position model. Lineage: Bacteria; Bacillati; Chloroflexota; Dehalococcoidia. The record is from RNAcentral.
GGUCAAAUUAUAAAGGGCUUACGGUGGAUGCCUUGGGACCAAGGGCCGAAGAAGGACGCGGUAAGGCUGCGAUAAGCCUCGAUGAGCCGUCUAACAGGCGUAAUCGGGGGUCUCCGAAUUGGGUAACCUGUUCCGGCGUUGAGUCGGUCCAUCCGCCACCGGCGGAAGGUAAGUGGGGGAACUGAAACAUCUAAGUACCCCGAGGAAAAGAAAUCAACCGAGAUUCCCUUAGUAGUGGC